UUGGAGGGCAAGUCUGGUGCCAGCAGCCGCGGUAACUCCAGCUCCAAUAGCGUAUAUUAAAGUUGUUGCAGUUAAAAAGCUCGUAGUUGAAUUUCGGGAUCAGAGUGUCGGUCGUGCCUCGGUACGCACUGGUAUUAUUGGUUCCUACCUUCUGAAGAACCGCGAUGUCAUUAAUUUGGUGUCGUGGGGAAUCAGGACUGUUACUUUGAAAAAAUUAGAGUGUUUAAAGCAGGCUUACGCUUGAAUACAUUAGCAUGGAAUAAUGAAAUAGGACGUUUGAUUCUAUUUUGUUGGUUUCUAGGAUUGACGUAAUGAUUAAUAGGGAUAGUUGGGGGCAUUAGUAUUCAAUUGUCAGAGGUGAAAUUCUUGGAUUUAUUGAAGACUAACUACUGCGAAAGCAUUUGCCAAGGAUGUUUUCAUUAAUCAAGAACGAAAGUUAGGGGAUCGAAGACGAUCAGAUACCGUCGUAGUCUUAACCAUAAACUAUGCCGACUAGGGAUCGGAUGAUGUUAAUUUUUUAAUGACUCAUUCGGCGCCUUACGGGAAAC
This 548-nucleotide ribosomal RNA is filed under the name uncultured Glomeromycotina. Its description in RNAcentral is "SSU rRNA". It matches the Rfam family "Eukaryotic small subunit ribosomal RNA", at positions 548 to 1098 of the family's 1831-position model. The record is from RNAcentral. Lineage: Eukaryota; Fungi; Glomeromycota.